GCGUGUGCGAUGAAGGCCUUCGGGUUGUAAAGCACUUUUCACUGGGAAGAGGAAGGACGGUACCAGUGGAAUAAGCCUCGGCUAACUACGUGCCAGCAGCCGCGGUAAAACGUAGGAGGCGAGCGUUAUCCGGAUUUACUGGGUGUAAAGCGCGUGCAGGCGGUACGUUAAGUUGGGUGUGAAAGCUCCUGGCUCAACUGGGAGAGGUCGCUCAAUACUGGCGAACUAGAGAGUGGUAGAGGAAGGUGGAAUUCCGGGUGUAGUGGUGAAAUGCGU
RNAcentral lists this ribosomal RNA (276 nucleotides) under uncultured bacterium. RNAcentral describes it as "partial 16S ribosomal RNA". It matches the Rfam family "Bacterial small subunit ribosomal RNA", at positions 399 to 691 of the family's 1533-position model. The record is from RNAcentral.